RNAcentral lists this ribosomal RNA (439 nucleotides) under uncultured bacterium. RNAcentral's name for it is "partial 16S ribosomal RNA". It matches the Rfam family "Bacterial small subunit ribosomal RNA", at positions 338 to 795 of the family's 1533-position model. The record is from RNAcentral.
CCUACGGGUGGCAGCAGUGGGGGAUAUUGCACAAUGGGCGAAAGCCUGCUGCAGCGAAGCCUCGUGCGGGAAGACGGUCGUCGGAUUUUAAACCUCUGUCUUUGGGGAAGUAAAUGACGGUACCCACAGAUGAAGCUCCGUCUAAAUACGUGCCAGCAGCCGCGGUAAUACGUAGGGAGCAAGCGUUGUCCGGAAUUACGGGGUGUAAAGUGAGCGUAGGCGGGAAGGCAAGUAGAAUGUUAAAUCCAUCGGCUCAACCGGUGGCUGCGUUCUACACUGCCGGUCUUGAGUGAAGUAGAGGCAGGCGGAAUGCCUAGUGUAGCGGUGAAAUGCGUAGAUAUGAGGAGGAACACCAGUGGCGAAGGCGGCCUGCUGGGCUUUAACUGACGCUGAGGCUCGAAAGCGUGGGGAGCAAACAGGAUUAGAUACCCUAGUAGUC